This 442-nucleotide ribosomal RNA is filed under the name uncultured bacterium. RNAcentral describes it as "partial 16S ribosomal RNA". It matches the Rfam family "Bacterial small subunit ribosomal RNA", at positions 338 to 795 of the family's 1533-position model. The record is from RNAcentral.
CCUACGGGCGGCAGCAGUGGGGAAUAUUGGGCAAUGGGCGCAAGCCUGACCCAGCAACGCCGCGUGAAGGAAGAAGGCUUUCGGGUUGUAAACUUCUUUUAAGAGGGAAGAGCAGAAGACGGUACCUCUUGAAUAAGCCACGGCUAACUACGUGCCAGCAGCCGCGGUAAUACGUGGGUGGCACGCGUUGUACGGAUUUACUGGUUGUAAAGGGCGGGUAGCCGGGCUGACAAGUCAGAUGUGAAAUCCCGUGGCUCAACCACGGAACUGCAGUUGAGACUGUCGGUCUUGAGUAUCGGAGAGGCAGGCGGAAUUCCUAGUGUAGCGGUGAAAUGCGUAGAUAUUAGGAGGAACACCAGUGGCGAAGGCGGCCUGCUGGACGACAACUGACGGUGAGGCGCGAAAGCGUGGGGAGCAAACAGGAUUAGAUACCCUGGUAGUC